AUGCUAUCCAACUGACCUUAUGGUUCUAGAUUUGACUGUGUGAUGUCAUUCUAGGGCGGAUUGGCUAGCUACUCAUAGUACUACCUGUGUCUGCAGAGACAAGGUAGGAGAGUUUAGAGCUUAGGAUGGAUCAGAGGUAGUCCUUGGAAAGGACAGACUAGGGGUGCCUAGAGGUUUGAUGUCAGCCCGUCAGGCUCAUAGUUUACUC
This 208-nucleotide long non-coding RNA is filed under the name Manihot esculenta (cassava). Its description in RNAcentral is "long non-coding RNA (MESC_LNC004052)". Lineage: Eukaryota; Viridiplantae; Streptophyta; Magnoliopsida; Malpighiales; Euphorbiaceae. The record is from RNAcentral.